RNAcentral lists this ribosomal RNA (391 nucleotides) under uncultured Glomus. RNAcentral's name for it is "SSU rRNA". It matches the Rfam family "Eukaryotic small subunit ribosomal RNA", at positions 631 to 1025 of the family's 1831-position model. The record is from RNAcentral. Lineage: Eukaryota; Fungi; Glomeromycota; Glomeromycetes; Glomerales; Glomeraceae.
UAGUUGAAUUUCGGGAUCAAUAUUUCGGUCAUGCCGUUGGUAUGCACUGUUAUCAUUGAUUUCUCACCUUCUAAAGAACCGUAAUGCCAUUAAUUUGGUGUUACGGGGAAUUAGGACUGUUACCUUGAAAAAAUUAGAGUGUUUAAAGCAGGCUCACGCUUGAAUACAUUAGCAUGGAAUAAUGAAAUAGGACAUCCGAUUCUAUUUUGUUGGUUUCUAGGAUCGAUGUAAUGAUUAAUAGGGAUAGUUGGGGGCAUUAGUAUUCAAUUGUCAGAGGUGAAAUUCUUGGAUUUAUUGAAGACUAACUACUGCGAAAGCAUUUGCCAAGGAUGUUUUCAUUAAUCAAGAACGAAAGUUAGGGGAUCGAAGACGAUCAGAUACCGUCGUAGUC